UACAGAGGUCCCAAGCGUUGUUCGGAUUUACUGGGCGUAAAGGGUGCGUAGGCGGUAAGGAAAGUUCGGGGUGAAAUCUCCAGGCUCAACUUGGAAACUGCCCUGAAUACUUCCUUGCUAGAGGGUCGCAGAGGAGAUUGGAAUUCUCGGCGUAGCAGUGAAAUGCGUAGAUAUCGAGAGGAACAUCAGUGGCGAAAGCGAAUCUCUGGGCGACAUCUGACGCUGAGGCACGAAAGCCAGGGGAGCAAACGGG
RNAcentral lists this ribosomal RNA (253 nucleotides) under uncultured bacterium. RNAcentral's name for it is "partial 16S ribosomal RNA". It matches the Rfam family "Bacterial small subunit ribosomal RNA", at positions 524 to 776 of the family's 1533-position model. The record is from RNAcentral.